AAUCCACAGAGCCCUCACUUGUAAUUUUUGGUCAAGCUUGGCGUUGGCUUGGCGACCGGACUUGGAGAUCCCCGAUUGAUCCAGCAGAGUUCCUUUUAGGCCGAGGCUUCGUUUGCUGCCAGGAGAUAGCACUUUAGAGCCACCGGUGCAGGCUGCUGCUUCUUCCGCUGAGCAGGAUCGCGGCAAGGGCGUUGCGAGUUAGAGCCCUACCCGAUCGACUGAGCUAGAGGCGUCUUCCCCACACUUCAGGUAGUGCUAUUUUGGAGUUUAUGUACAUAGUGGUUGAACUCGCCAGUGCGAGUGGUGUUGCAUUUUGGAUUCUGGAACUAUG
Molecule: long non-coding RNA, 331 nt
Organism: Ananas comosus (pineapple)
Lineage: Eukaryota; Viridiplantae; Streptophyta; Magnoliopsida; Poales; Bromeliaceae
Exons: 3
Source: RefSeq, a predicted model, not a curated record